UAACGACUCUCGGCAACGGAUAUCCCGGCUCUCGCAUCGAUGAAGAACGUAGCGAAAUGCGAUACUUGGUGUGAAUUGCAGAAUCCCGUGAACCAUCGAGUUUUUGAACGCAAGUUGCGCCCGAUGCCAUUAGGUUGAGGGCACGUCUGCCUGGGUGUCACGU
RNAcentral lists this ribosomal RNA (163 nucleotides) under Bupleurum lancifolium. RNAcentral describes it as "5.8S ribosomal RNA". It matches the Rfam family "5.8S ribosomal RNA". From Rfam's summary of the family: 5.8S ribosomal RNA (5.8S rRNA) is a component of the large subunit of the eukaryotic ribosome. It is transcribed by RNA polymerase I as part of the 45S precursor that also contains 18S and 28S rRNA. Functionally, it is thought that 5.8S rRNA may be involved in ribosome translocation. The record is from RNAcentral. Lineage: Eukaryota; Viridiplantae; Streptophyta; Magnoliopsida; Apiales; Apiaceae.